GACGAACCGUGCGAACGUUGUUCGGAAUCACUGGGCUUAAAGGGCGCGUAGGCGGGCUGCCAAGUCCGGGGUGAAAUCCUCCAGCUCAACUGGAGAACGGCCUCGGAUACUGGAAGUCUCGAGGGAGAUAGGGGCACGCGGAACCGUGGGUGGAGCGGUGAAAUGCGUUGAUAUCCAUGGGAACUCCGGUGGCGAAGGCGGCGUGCUGGAUCUCUUCUGACGCUGAGGCGCGAAAGCCAGGGGAUCAAACGGG
RNAcentral lists this ribosomal RNA (253 nucleotides) under uncultured bacterium. RNAcentral describes it as "partial 16S ribosomal RNA". It matches the Rfam family "Bacterial small subunit ribosomal RNA", at positions 524 to 776 of the family's 1533-position model. RNAcentral also lists the same sequence under 1 other name. The record is from RNAcentral.